GAUGAUUUUAGUGCUUGCACUAAAUGAAACUAGAUACAAGCGAGCGGCGGACGGGUGAGUAACACGUGGGUAACCUGCCCAAGAGACUGGGAUAACACCUGGAAACAGAUGCUAAUACCGGAUAACAACACUAGACGCAUGUCUAGAGUUUGAAAGAUGGUUCUGCUAUCACUCUUGGAUGGACCUGCGGUGCAUUAGCUAGUUGGUAAGGUAACGGCUUACCAAGGCAAUGAUGCAUAGCCGAGUUGAGAGACUGAUCGGCCACAUUGGGACUGAGACACGGCCCAAACUCCUACGGGAGGCAGCAGUAGGGAAUCUUCCACAAUGGACGAAAGUCUGAUGGAGCAACGCCGCGUGAGUGAAGAAGGGUUUCGGCUCGUAAAGCUCUGUUGGUAGUGAAGAAAGAUAGAGGUAGUAACUGGCCUUUAUUUGACGGUAAUUACUUAGAAAGUCACGGCUAACUACGUGCCAGCAGCCGCGGUAAUACGUAGGUGGCAAGCGUUGUCCGGAUUUAUUGGGCGUAAAGCGAGUGCAGGCGGUUCAAUAAGUCUGAUGUGAAAGCCUUCGGCUCAACCGGAGAAUUGCAUCAGAAACUGUUGAACUUGAGUGCAGAAGAGGAGAGUGGAACUCCUGGUUUGGGGGGGGG
This 646-nucleotide ribosomal RNA is filed under the name Lactobacillus johnsonii. Its description in RNAcentral is "bacterial SSU rRNA". It matches the Rfam family "Bacterial small subunit ribosomal RNA", at positions 66 to 685 of the family's 1533-position model. Lineage: Bacteria; Bacillati; Bacillota; Bacilli; Lactobacillales; Lactobacillaceae. The record is from RNAcentral.